UAUAUAUUUAUUGUUGGAGGUUUUGUGAGGAAAAAAAUAAGAAAACUUUCAAAUAUCACCGAUUGGUUUCGCACUUUCUCACUUCAAUAUUAUGUAAUUUAAAAUGUGCUCUCGUUAACUUUUCUUUAAAUCAUAUACAAAAAGCUUCACCACCUAUAAUUUAUUAAGUAUUCACUUUAGUACCCUUUAGUUUUAACUUUAUCACCAAGUUAACGAAAAAAAAUAGUGAACAAGAUAAUAAAAGGAAAAAAAUAAAAUUAUAUGGUACAAAAGUGAUACAUAUAUUUUAAAUCAGAGAGUACUAAAGUAAAAAAAAUGCAAAACCACUGGAGUGGUAUUUGAAAAUUUUUCAAAUAAUAAUUCUAAAAAUCAAUUAUAUUUUAUAAAUGAGAUUAUCAAAUACUCUAUUGAGUCAAAAAUUAUUUUUAAAUUUAAAAAU
Molecule: long non-coding RNA, 439 nt
Filed under: Ananas comosus (pineapple)
Lineage: Eukaryota; Viridiplantae; Streptophyta; Magnoliopsida; Poales; Bromeliaceae
Description: long non-coding RNA (ACOM_LNC038418)
Source: RNAcentral